This 28-nucleotide small RNA is filed under the name Bombyx mori (domestic silkworm). Its description in RNAcentral is "ovarian small RNA-32089". Lineage: Eukaryota; Metazoa; Arthropoda; Insecta; Lepidoptera; Bombycidae. The record is from RNAcentral.
UGACUUUGGUUUUGGACCUGUUUAUGGA